Molecule: long non-coding RNA, 912 nt
Organism: Dromiciops gliroides (monito del monte)
Lineage: Eukaryota; Metazoa; Chordata; Mammalia; Microbiotheria; Microbiotheriidae
Exons: 2
Source: RefSeq, a predicted model, not a curated record
GAGGGAGAAGAAACAAGGCGAGGAGCGGAGUGGCACCGAACCGGGUCGUCUCUGUGGCGCUGCCAAACUUCUGGGUAAUCCUGAACCAUCUGAAGAAAGCCUCUGCUCCGGAGUGAACAGCAGAAACCUGCAGGGCGCUCAAGGUUUGUCUAGUACAGACCCAGAAGCAGCCGGCACCUAGAUGAGACAGCUGUCCCAAGAUUCCGGACGAGGGCUGAAUAUACCAUCCUACUUUUUUGUUUUGUUUUCUCUUCUUCCCUUUUGUUAUGUGCCCACCCACCAAGGCCCUGAUUCCAGUGUGUGUUAGCAUUUCCCUCACUCCCCCUGCCCUUUUCUGCUUGCAAGCAAACAAUGGCUAGCAAUGAUACUUGGGACAUAUUUCCCCAGUAGGUCCCCUCAAGGAACUGACGCCCUGGGAAACAUCUCAUCUUGACUGAACUGGCCUCUUGUGGUUAUUGGCCAGAAGUGUAGGGGUUCUUUCAGACCCCUCCCUUUGGCCAAAAGGGGGAAAUGACAAAAUAAAAUUUAGAUCCCCUGUUUUCCCAGAACUAAGGUCCAGCCAGCCAGCUAUGCCCUGAGCUUGGCAGGACAACAAUCCUUUGUGAUCAUCCUCUGGAUGAUUCCAUCCUCUGGGCUAGUCACACAGUUCACCAGGUGUUCUCUGAUCAAAGAGAAUAAUGGACAGUCAGAACAUCCUGUAAUGAAUGAAUCAAACUUGUCACAUGCUUGCUGCUCCUUCACUGUCAGUGCUAUAGCUCACUGGGCAGCCACUAGUAUAAGUAUUGAUAUCUCCCCACACUACUUGGGCCCCCUCACCCCCCACUAAGGGUGAGGCCCCAGCACAUAUGUCUAUAGCUCCUCUUGGCUUGCAAGCCUUUUUCCUCACUCUGAAAAUAAAUCUUUAAUUCCUGA